GUUAGCGAUCUAUGCAGAACAUUCCAGAGAAUCCUCCCUGUGCUUCCGCAAAGGGCACGCCUAUUUGCGGCAACCUGGCGUGCCUAGGUUUGCACCUUGGCUCUCUUUGCUGAUGCAUAUUCUGCUAACGACCGCUCAUAAACCACUUGGCCGUGAGGUUCCUCUUUCUCUUAUCCCUUAGAGGACAACUCGUGCUCGUGCAAACGGUGUGCCAAUCUGCACAGGUCCGGCGUGCCUAGACCAACGCAUUACGUCCUCUUUCAGCUGACCCUUUAUGCCUUUAGGUCUUUGUUCUUAAGCUUAAGUCAUUUACCAGCACUGUGACUGCAGGAAGAUGGGAUAGAGUAAAGCAGGACAAGAUGGAGUUUUCAGCAAAGAGGCUGAGAAAAUAUUGUAGAAAUGUGUCUCGCGACAGGCAACCAAAGCAAAAUGGUUGGUAGCUUUCGGACAUGCAUAUCCUCGGAGGUGGUCUUGGCUGAGUUGUGCUAAUGCCUUCAUACCGACCAGUGGGUCUACUGAUGCUACAGCUCUUGGGCGCGCCCCAGCAGCUGCUCCUUUCAGAUAGAAGCCUUUUGUUGUGCCCACCCAGCCUCCACAGCAGCUUGACCAGGAACUCCCAGGAGGCACACAUGGUCCAGGUCUGCUGCCACAGGGAGAGCCUUUCCCCCGAGAUCAACCAAAACCUGAUUAGACGCCCGAGCCCCAGGCCAGGAGAGCAAGCUCCUUCCACAGCCCAAACAGCAGCAGCUAUGGGGGAAAUUUUACCAUCACAAGAUAUGUCUCUUUGGCAGGAUUAAUUUAGGCUAAUUAUUUGUCAGAAACAGAAGACAGAUGAAGUCUUGUUGUUACCUCCCUGCAACAACCAAAUGAAUUUAGAUACAGGGCUUGUGAGAGACCAGAGUCCACUCGGCAUCUGGACACGUCCGACCUGCCUGGUGUAGCACCUUUGGUAACCAAACACCUGCUUCGCCAUCUGCAGGUCACAGGCCACCCUCUCCUUUCAAGCCCUAAGCCACGCCCUCAGCAUCCUGCCUUGUCUUUAGGGGGGUUUACCAUGACGGCUGCGGCAGUGGCUGCGGUGAUUCCUAGGUCACGGGUCUUUCCACGUGCCCAUGUUGUUACACUUUGGUUAAUUUUCACCUGUUAAUCUGUCUCACGUCAACUAAUUCCUAGGCCACCAAGAAGAACCUAGAAGGGCAGGGGGAAAUAUCUUGCCUUCAAACCAGCGACAAGCCCAGCCAAUAAGACCAUAGCAGCUCAGCGCUGUGAGCCACUGCCGCCCAAAAGACCCGAUUCCUCCAACAGACGUCCACACAGCCGCCCCUCCCACUGCCUCCUUCCCUGAAAGGUCAUAGCCUGGUUGUUUGCUGAAUCGGAUGCUAGUUUCCUUAUAGCUUGUUUGUCCUGAAUUGCAAUCAUCUGCUCUUCCUAAAAAAACCCAUUUCGUUGGUAAAAUACCUCGCUAUUUUUAAGAGGUCCCAAGUGAGCUGGGUCCGGGCGAGCGAGCUGACCCGACCCUGCCCACACAGCCCCACAGCCAAGGACCCAUCCGGCCCACACUCCAGCUCCACCCUGGAGUCACCCCAACUCCUAUGUGACACGGCGGGGGGCCGGAGGGAGGGAGGAGAGGCGGGGGCUGCGGGGACAUGCAGGCCCUG
Molecule: long non-coding RNA, 1658 nt
Filed under: Sus scrofa (pig)
Lineage: Eukaryota; Metazoa; Chordata; Mammalia; Artiodactyla; Suidae
Description: lncRNA (ENSSSCG00060074628.1)
Source: RNAcentral